RNAcentral lists this ribosomal RNA (497 nucleotides) under uncultured bacterium. Its description in RNAcentral is "partial 16S ribosomal RNA". It matches the Rfam family "Bacterial small subunit ribosomal RNA", at positions 28 to 507 of the family's 1533-position model. The record is from RNAcentral.
GAUGAACGCUGGCGGCGUGCCUAACACAUGCAAGUCGAGCGAACAGACGAUGAGCUUGCUCCUCUCACGUUAGCGGCGGACGGGUGAGUAACACGUGGAUAACCUACCUCUAAUACUGGGAUAACUUCGGGUAACCGCAGCUAAUACUAGCUAAUAUUUUUAACCGCAUGUUUCGAUAGAGCUAGACAUGUUGGCUGUGACUGUUAGAUGGAUCCACGCCGCAUUAGCUAGUUGGUAAGGUAACGGCUUAUCAAGGCAACGAUGCGUAGCUGACCUGAGAAGAUGAUCAGCCACACUGGAACUGAGACACGGUCCAGAGUCCUACAGGAGGCAGAAGUAGUGAAUAUUGCGCUGAGGGCGGAAGCUUGACGGAGCCACGCCGCGAGGUUGAAGAAUGUCUCCGUAUCGUAAAACUAUGUUAUGAUGGAAGAAGAAAUGCGUAAGUGACUAUGCGCGUCUUGACGGUACCUAAUUAGAAAGCCACGUCUAACUACGUG